AGUGAAGAGGUCAAGCAUUACUCGCCGCGCAGACUGUAAAUCUGCCGGCUCAGCCUUCCCAGGUUCGAAUCCUGGCGCCGCCA
Molecule: transfer RNA, 83 nt
Filed under: Streptomyces althioticus
Lineage: Bacteria; Bacillati; Actinomycetota; Actinomycetes; Kitasatosporales; Streptomycetaceae
Also listed under: 2 other names
Description: tRNA-Tyr
Source: RNAcentral